GGGACACGUGGUAUCCUGUCUGAAUAUGGGGGGACCAUCCUCCAAGGCUAAAUACUCCUGACUGACCGAUAGUGAACCAGUACCGUGAGGGAAAGGCGAAAAGAACCCCGGCGAGGGGAGUGAAAAAGAACCUGAAACCGUGUACGUACAAGCAGUGGGAGCCUCUUAAUGGGGUGACUGCGUACCUUUUGUAUAAUGGGUCAGCGACUUAUAUUCUGUAGCAAGGUUAACCGAAUAGGGGAGCCGAAGGGAAACCGAGUCUUAACUGGGCGUUAAGUUGCAGGGUAUAGACCCGAAACCCGGUGAUCUAGCCAUGGGCAGGUUGAAGGUUGGGUAACACUAACUGGAGGACCGAACCGACUAAUGUUGAAAAAUUAGCGGAUGACUUGUGGCUGGGGGUGAAAGGCCAAUCAAACCGGGAGAUAGCUGGUUCUCCCCGAAAGCUAUUUAGGUAGCGCCUCGUGAAUUCAUCUCCGGGGGUAGAGCACUGUUUCGGCAAGGGGGUCAUCCCGACUUACCAACCCGAUGCAAACUGCGAAUACCGGAGAAUGUUAUCACGGGAGACACACGGCGGGUGCUAACGUCCGUCGUGAAGAGGGAAACAACCCAGACCGCCAGCUAAGGUCCCAAAGUCAUGGUUAAGUGGGAAACGAUGUGGGAAGGCCCAGACAGCCAGGAUGUUGGCUUAGAAGCAGCCAUCAUUUAAAGAAAGCGUAAUAGCUCACUGGUCGAGUCGGCCUGCGCGGAAGAUGUAACGGGGCUAAACCAUGCACCGAAGCUGCGGCAGCGACACUAUGUGUUGUUGGGUAGGGGAGCGUUCUGUAAGCCUGUGAAGGUGUGCUGUGAGGCAUGCUGGAGGUAUCAGAAGUGCGAAUGCUGACAUAAGUAACGAUAAAGCGGGUGAAAAGCCCGCUCGCCGGAAGACCAAGGGUUCCUGUCCAACGUUAAUCGGGGCAGGGUGAGUCGACCCCUAAGGCGAGGCCGAAAGGCGUAGUCGAUGGGAAACAGGUUAAUAUUCCUGUACUUGGUGUUACUGCGAAGGGGGGACGGAGAAGGCUAUGUUGGCCGGGCGACGGUUGUCCCGGUUUAAGCGUGUAGGCUGGUUUUCCAGGCAAAUCCGGAAAACCAAGGCUGAGGCGUGAUGACGAGGCACUACGGUGCUGAAG
RNAcentral lists this ribosomal RNA (1166 nucleotides) under Escherichia coli. RNAcentral describes it as "partial 23S ribosomal RNA". It matches the Rfam family "Bacterial large subunit ribosomal RNA", at positions 419 to 1590 of the family's 2925-position model. Lineage: Bacteria; Pseudomonadati; Pseudomonadota; Gammaproteobacteria; Enterobacterales; Enterobacteriaceae. The record is from RNAcentral.